This 690-nucleotide ribosomal RNA is filed under the name Placospermum coriaceum. RNAcentral describes it as "eukaryotic LSU rRNA". The stretch from base 230 to 385 matches the Rfam family "5.8S ribosomal RNA". Lineage: Eukaryota; Viridiplantae; Streptophyta; Magnoliopsida; Proteales; Proteaceae. The record is from RNAcentral.
GUAGGUGAACMUGCGGAAGGAUCAUUGUCGAUACCUGCCCAACGAAAAAGACCYGCGAACAUGUUGCACCAAUGUUACAAGGUUUGAUUGCGAGCCUUAGUGGCCAGUGACCAAACAAACAUAUCAAYCGGCGCGGUUGGCGCCARGGAUCUCACAGUUGGAAGAGACGUGUCAYCGUUGUGCCUUGGGUACAGGGAUGUGUCGUCAUCGAACCGAAUUAUUCAYAAAUGACUCUCGGCAACGGAUAUCUCGGCUCUCACAUCGAUGAAGAACGUAGCGWAAUGYGAUACUUGGUGUGAAUUGCAGAAUCCCGUGAACCAUCGAGUCUUUGAACGCAAGUUGCGCCCCAAGCCAUCAGGUUGAGGGCACGCCUGCCUGGGCGUCACGCACCAUUAUGCCCGUCCUCUUUUUGCCCUCGGGCGGUUGGGUACGGAGUGGAGAUUGGCCCCCCAUGCCCCUGUUGGAGGUGUGGCCGGCCCAAAUGUAAGGCCCAAGUGUGGCGAGCUUCGCRACGAGUGGUGGUCUAGAGAACACUUCUCCAUAGCUCGAACGAUGAGUGUGCUUUGCCUCCUUGGGCUUUCRGUGACCCGAUCAUUGCGUCGUCCUGUAGAUGAACGCUUCCGAUGCGACCCCAGGUCAGGSGGGGCUACCCGCUGAGYUUAAGCAUAUCAAUAAGCGGAGGAAAAGAAA